RNAcentral lists this ribosomal RNA (300 nucleotides) under uncultured Methylobacterium sp. RNAcentral's name for it is "bacterial SSU rRNA". It matches the Rfam family "Bacterial small subunit ribosomal RNA", at positions 115 to 424 of the family's 1533-position model. Lineage: Bacteria; Pseudomonadati; Pseudomonadota; Alphaproteobacteria; Hyphomicrobiales; Methylobacteriaceae. The record is from RNAcentral.
GCGUGGGAACGUGCCUUCUGGUCUGGAAUAACCCUGGGAAACUAGGGCUAAUACCGGAUACGCCCUUUUGGGGAAAGGUUUACUGCCGGAAGAUCGGCCCGCGUCUGAUUAGCUAGUUGGUGGGGUAACGGCCUACCAAGGCGACGAUCAGUAGCUGGUCUGAGAGGAUGAUCAGCCACACGUGGGACUGAGACACGGCCCAGACUCCGUACGGGAGGCAGCAGGUGGGGAAUAGUUGGACAAGUGGGCGCAAGCCUGAUCCAGCCAUGCCCGCGUGAGUGAUGAAACGGCCUUUAGGGU